Amphiprion ocellaris (clown anemonefish) is the source of this 2075-nucleotide long non-coding RNA. RefSeq lists it as uncharacterized. The transcript has 2 exons. Lineage: Eukaryota; Metazoa; Chordata; Actinopteri; Pomacentridae. The record is from RefSeq and is a predicted model, not a curated record.
AUCCUCUCCUCAGUGGUGUUUAAGUACGGAUGGUGUGUGUGGAAGACUGCUGUCGGUUGGUCUAGACCUUAAAACGCACAUUUCUCUUGCAGAAAAAGUAUAUUUGCAGCUUAAAUAACAUCUAGCAUCUAUAACAACAGCUGCAAAUCGAAGGGAACUAUCAUGAACCAAAGUAUUUUCUUAAAGCAUCCCAUGAUUUAGCCAGUGAGGAUGCUAGUUAAUAGGAAGAAAGACGAUUCUCCUUCACUUCAGACUUUAUUUCAUAAUUAGAAUCUGGUUCUGGUAAAAUGCAACAGCAAGCUAGUCUUUCUACUUUAUUGUGAGGUCUGAACAAGGUGCCUGGAGUUUCUGGAUAACAAUCAGCUGUAGAAAACAUAUCAAUUGUUCACUUUUCUUACCUUUGCUGGUGUUAAUCUUGAUUUGGAGCGUUCUGCUUCUGCCAAGUUCUCUUUGCAAGAGUUUUUGGGCCCAUUUAAACCCGUUUUAUUGGAGGAUUCUAGAGAGAAAUCUGGUCUUGGAUCUUAGUCUGAACUGAUAAUGGGCUCAGAUAAUCUAGUAACUUAAGAAGUUUGUAGAUUUGGUUUGAAGUCUUCUGAACUGCUCACUUGAGGCUGUGAUUAUAAUAUCAAUCCUGAGUGAAAAGUUUAAAAAUCUCACUUCCAGUUGUCAGUGAAGUGUAAAAAAGACUAAUUAUUUCAGUCUUUCUAGAACAUUUUCUCGUUUAGACUCUCUCUGUCUUCUGUUUUUUUCCCAGUAUUAUUCCAUUACGCUGUGUAACUACUGAGGUGCAGAGCAGUAUGUAGCCAGAAUGAACGAGCCUUUGAGCCGGACCUCUGUGAGGUCUGUCAAUUUUCAGAGCGUCUAGCUGAUGGCUUUUGCCAUUUGCAUCUUUUGUGGUCAUAUUGUAUGGAGGACUAAAAGUGCCAAAAUUAAAUAAAUAAAUACAUCAUUAAAUAAUUAAUUAAAUAUGUCAUUAAUUAAUUAAAAUUGGAAUUAAAUACUUAAAUGUGUUAUUAAAUAAAUAUAUCAUUAAAUAAUUAAAUAUGUCAUUAAUUAGUUAAAAUUGGAAUUAAAUAUGUCAUUAAUUAAUUAAAAUUGGAAUUAAAUACAUAAAUGUGUUAUUAAAUAUGUCAUUAAUUUAUUAAAAUAACAAUUAUUUUAAGUAAAAAACAUAUUUCAUUAUUUCACGAUUUAAUUAAUUAUUUCAUGGUCCUUGUGUUGCAGUGGAUCAUGAAUUAAUUUUAUCUGUCAACCUCGCCCGUCAAAGUCGGUGGGCGGAUCCUAACACCUGAUUGGUUACCCUGCACAUCAAGUCAAGGCAAAUCGAUUCCAGAUAAUGGAUUGACGCAGAGCUUGUGAACACAUUCCGAUACACUGGGUGGCGCUAUUCACCUCUACGUUGGUUUGGAUACUCAAUAAAACAAAACUUUAUUAGCAACCGCUAAAGACUCGGUCCUCUUUCCCAAAUGUUGAUACAUGCGGUGCAAGACAAAUUUUCCUUUAGCAUUUCCUUUAGCAUCUACUCGGCGCGCCACGGCUCGUCUCGGUUUAGUUGUUUUUCCAUUACAUUGAGAACCACCUCAUCGUGGGUGGAGUCGUCAUAGCACGGCGGUCCGAAAGUCCCUUACCGUCAUUUCUGUGCGACACAAACGCAAUGCAACAAUGUACAUGGAGGCGAUAGUACACCUGCUGCUCGGUCUGUGGCUUUCUGUCAGAUUCAGAGUAAUAGAAGAGUCGGAGAAAGCUGAGAGCGACGAGUCGAAACACUGAGGAGACACACAGGAGAGUUUGGGAGGCGAUGCAGCAGUAUCAAGCCGAAGACAAGAGGAUAUGAACGAGACGACAUAUGAGGAUGCUCUCUGAUGAGACUUCAUGGGAUUUACCUGAAGCAGCAGCACAUGAGCCUGCAGUGGCACAAGGUGUAGAGGAGGAGGACAGAGAUGUACAGGAUGCACUGAUGCACUACGUGUCAUGCAAAGUUAUUCUUCUUGUUAUACUUCUGUUUUUCGGUCCCCGGACCGCUAUUGUUUUCUUUAAUGCAAUUCUGACAAUAAACUUUUGUAGAUGUGUCUAUA